CCUGCCCUUCCCUACACCUCUUACUUCCAAGGGCUUGGUUUCUGCAGCCACUUUCCUGCCAGCUCUGAGGAGAUUUUUCCAGAAAAUAGCCCAGAGCGCUUCUACGGCUCAGCCAUGCUCCCAUUGCUUUUCUCAAUACUGGGGAUGAUAUUUGUCAUGAGAGAUGCCAGAGCCCAGUCAGUGAGCCAGCCGGACCACCACAUCAGAGUCUUUGAAAGAGCCUCACUGGAGCUGAGGUGCCAGUAUGUCUAUGCUGCAACUCCUUCUCUCUUCUGGUACGUCCAAUACCCCAGGCAAGGCCUCCAGCUUCUCCUCAAGAACCUCUCAGGAAAGACGCUGGUUCAAGACAUUCACAGCUUUGAGGCUGAAUUUAAGAAGAAUGAGUCUUCCUUCAACCUGAGGAAAUCCUCAGCCCAUUUGAGCGACUCGGCUGUGUACUUCUGUGCUCUGAGUGACACAGUGCCUGAGACUGCAGGGGGAGCUGAGCACAAACCACUCAUCACAGUGGAGUUUUCAGAGACUUAAGAUCUGUUCCUGUGGUAUCUUUAAAGAUCUUAUGCUAUCUGAUAGCAAAUGAGGCAAAGAGAGUUGCGCAGACCCAGGUACUUUAAAUAAUUCCACAAUCCCUUGCCUGGUAAACAUUAUUUCAAAAGCUUCCUGCUCUUUAUAGCACCUACAUGAUAAUAGUGUUCUAGAAUGAUGAGGGCGACAUUGUGCCUAUCACAUCGUAAUUUUAUUUGCCUUGAGGUUGACGACUUUAAGGGAUUUACUCUGUGGGUUUUUAUUCAUUAUUUUCUCUUUUUCUCAACCCAGAAAACAAAAGGUAAACCCCUCAAG
Molecule: non-coding RNA, 837 nt
Organism: Pipistrellus kuhlii (Kuhl's pipistrelle)
Lineage: Eukaryota; Metazoa; Chordata; Mammalia; Chiroptera; Vespertilionidae
Source: the annotation of a RefSeq genome assembly